AUUGAACGCUGGCGGCAGGCCUAACACAUGCAAGUCGAACGAGUGGCGGACGGGUGAGUAAUGUAUGGGACACUGCCCGGUGGAGGGGGAUAACUACUGGACACGGUAGCUAAUUACGCCUAAGAUCGGCUGUGCCCAGAUGGGCUUAGCUAGUAGGUGGGGUAACGGCUGACCUAGGCGACGAACCCUAGCUGGUCUGAGAGGAUGACCAGUCAAACUGGAACGGAGACACGGGCCAGACUCCUACGGGAGGCAGCAGUGGGGAAUAUUGCACAAUGGGCGCAAGCCUGAUGCAGCCAUGCCGCGUGUAUGAAGAAGGCCUUCGGGUUGUAAAGUACUUUCAGCGAGGAGGCGUUACUCGCAGAAGAAGCACCGGCGAACUCCGUGACAGCAGCCGCGGUAAUAC
Molecule: ribosomal RNA, 406 nt
Filed under: uncultured bacterium
Lineage: Bacteria
Description: partial 16S ribosomal RNA
Rfam family: Bacterial small subunit ribosomal RNA
Source: RNAcentral